CACCUGGAUGACAGAGGGACAGCACAAACCUAUCUGUUGCAUUCACUGAGAGUAAGAAACUAAGUGCCAGGGCUAAGUGUUUCACCUGCACUAUCUCAUUUCAUAUAACCAUCCUGAGGCUUGUUUCCAUUUUACAAGUCAGGAAAUUUGAAGCUUGUAGAGGUAGUCAAGAUCAAGUGGCAGAAUGACAAUUCAAACCUAGAUUGGUCUGUUUCCAAACUUAACUCCAUUACACCCGACCCCAGAUUCAGGCCAAUUCAGUCCAAGACUGUGUUGUCAACUGUGACCCCACAUGCAACAGGAAGAAAGAGAAAGAAGUAAGAAAUGGGACUGGGUUCAGGGGAAAUCUAGGCUGAGUGUCCAAAAGGCUGCAGUUGACCACACAACCUGCGCUGCCACUUGCCUGGCGAGGGCCCAGGACACAGCGAAUCUGCAAGCCCUCUUCACUGGCUGAGUCUGAGUCUUCUGAUCCUGAGAUGCUGGAAAGAUCUCCUGAAAACAUGAGGUGCACAAGUUUGGCGUUCCAUCUUUGACCUUUCCACAGGCUCCUAAACUAGAGCCUUCCUCCACCCCCACGUCCUACUCAACACAGGUCUACCAGCCAUCACCUGUGGAACUCUGCUUUUCAAAGUCCAGGGCAGACAGGAGAGGCUUGUCCUUGAGACGUUGCUUUAGGUUAAACCGAUGCCAGUCAAGCUUAUAAUGUUCCCUCUGGUAGGAAGCAAAGGGGGAGGCUGAAUGUGGAAAUAUGCCCCCCUCUGGCCCUUUAUGGUACCCAUCACCAGUAACAGAACUCCAGGAAGUGUGUUGGAUAACACCAACAGCCUUACUCAAAACGUGAACCUUUAUUAAAGAUAAAUCCUACGUCUACCUCUCCUCACCCACCAUUAUACUUUUGCUUCCACCAUUUACCUCCGCACCUGGCCUUACCUGUUCCUGGUGGUUGUGGAAGGUCUGGUCACAAGUUGAACAAAAUAACUUUUCUGAAAUAUCAA
Panthera uncia (snow leopard) is the source of this 995-nucleotide long non-coding RNA. RefSeq lists it as uncharacterized. The transcript has 2 exons. NCBI's taxonomy places the organism in Eukaryota, Metazoa, Chordata, Mammalia, Carnivora, Felidae. The record is from RefSeq and is a predicted model, not a curated record.